GAUUAUGAUGGAAGAUCACCUCUGGUAUGAUUUUUAGCUAAGCUAAUCAUUAGUGUCCUACAAAACCAAGCUCAACUAAAUUUAAGGAAAGAAUACUUAAAGAAGAGAGGGACUAUAACUGGUAAAGUAUUGAAGUCUUGCAUGAAGAUAUGAAUACCCAUUUAAUGAUUUUCUAUGGCCAAAAGAGCCCCACUGUCAAUGCAUAACCAGCACAUCUAAACUUCCUGUCUAAAAGGAAUUUCACAUCAUAAUCAUAUUCAUCUUCAGUGUUUAAUGAUAAGAGAACAAUUACAGCAUAUACAAUUUAAGUGAAAAUGUAAAUGGCCUAUGAAGUAAUCCAGGGAAAUUAAACAGUCAACUAAGUCAACCAGCAGGAUAGCAUGAGUAUUCCUUUUCUGACAGGUCUGAAUAUACUGCCUUGGAGAAUUAAUGUAGAAAUUUCUACUCGAUAAUCUUUCUCAAAUUUCUACAUCCAUAUGCCCAUUUUAACGAGUAUAGAAUACUUGCAUGCUUCAUCUAAGUUAGAUGCAUAUGUUCCAUACUAAAGACAACUGAAAUGUGUAUAAAAUACUAUUUUUAUAUAUUUAUGGUAGCUAAUAAAUUGCAGCCUAUGAAAAAAUAAUCUUACUGUAGAAUAGGAG
This 641-nucleotide unclassified non-coding RNA is filed under the name Hevea brasiliensis (rubber tree). Lineage: Eukaryota; Viridiplantae; Streptophyta; Magnoliopsida; Malpighiales; Euphorbiaceae. The record is from RNAcentral.